CAGCCAUUAGCAUACUCCCCGCUUUCCCUAGGGUCUACAGUGUCGAACGUUGCGAUUCCGAUGUUGGCGGCGCUGCGAUCUCGCUUUUUCCUUUCCACUUCACCAUCAUCUUCUUUCAUCCAUCGAUCAUGGAAGCUAGGGUUUUCAGGUUCCAGCCACACUUUCUUUUCAUCAACUGUCGAAUCCAGCAGCAGCAACAAAGGUUUACUGGACAUAAACGAGGUUGAGAACGUUCUCAAAGACGUGAGAGCGGACGACGUGAAAGUGAUACCAGUCGGAAAGCACUGUGAUUGGGCUGAUUAUAUGGUGGUCGCCACCGGUAGGUCGACAUGGCAUGUCAAGAACAUCGCUCAGGCACUUAUUUACAAGGCUAAGGAAAAGCAGAGAGGAGCUCAGCGGAUGAUGCUUCCAAGCUUGGAAGGGCAAGAGGGAGGAAAGUGGAUUGUCAUUGAUUCUGGUAAGGUGAUAAUUCAUGCUCUUGAUGAGAAGGCCAGAGAUCUUCCAAAUUGUAAUAAGCUC
This 519-nucleotide unclassified non-coding RNA is filed under the name Hevea brasiliensis (rubber tree). Lineage: Eukaryota; Viridiplantae; Streptophyta; Magnoliopsida; Malpighiales; Euphorbiaceae. The record is from RNAcentral.